AAAAGUGUAAUUUUAUUUUUACUAAUUUAAAAUUUUUAAAAAAUCUCAAGAGCCUAAAUAAUAAUUUUACAUUUUAGGAGAGGGCCAGCCCCUGCCAGCCCUCUUAGAUUCGCCCCUUUCUUUCUUGGAAGGUUUACUUAUUGCUUGUCUUGUGGAAAAAUAGCAUGAAACAUUUGUACCUCGCUUCCUUCUCAAAAAUAAUUACGACAUCGUUAUAAUGAAUUUUCUUUUUGUGAAUUACAAAUAGUGACUAGCGUAACUCGAAUCCAGGUCACACCUAGAGCGAUGAACACUCUUGAUCGACCAAUUUUAGCCCGGGCCUAGCACUAAAAGUAAACAGUUUAAAAACACACAAAAAAAAUGAGAAAAGUAAACCAAAAGGAUGUCCACAGUCCAAGUCCCUAGUACAAAACAACCCAAAUACACUAUACAAGCCCAACAUUCAAGACCCUAAAACCAAAUUAACAAAUCCUUAACCCAAAAUACGGGCCCAAACGGCCCAAAAGACUAAACCAAAUUUUAGCAAACCCUAGCCCUAGCAGCCGAGCCCCUCCAGCGCCUCCGUACGCUCCAGUGUUUCAGCAGCCACGCGCGCCUCCGUACGCCAGCUCCUGUACCCGAGCACCAGCACACCCCGUACCUGCAAAAAGGACGAACACAGCAGCAAAUACAAACAAAGAACAAAUAUUUCAUAUUUUUUAUUUAUUUUCUUUCUUUUUUUUUCGGCUAUAAAGCCAAGAUUUUAAUCUUUGUAAUCGGGGACGAAUGGAUUACACAAAAAAAAGAGCAAUCAAAUACAAAAAAGAAUCAAGGUGAUUUUCCGAUUCAAAAAUCUUGGAUUUCUUUUAGUUUCAUUCGUCUGGGUUUUGUUGUUCUUAUAUUCGAAAGAAAAAUAAAAAAAAAGUAAAAAGAGGGUCUUACCUGGGAAAUACGCCGUAAACCUCCUUCUGCUUUGUUGAAGUCAAAGCUAGGAGGAGAUCUUGAGGCUGAAAAAUCAUCUUCUGGGCCUAAAGGGGCAGGUUGUUGCCUGGGGGAUGGGAAUCGGUGGCUUGGGUGUUGAUCUAGGGUUCGUCUGAGAGACUUUAGUUCUUUUUUUACUUUGAUUUGUUAAUGGGGGGGGUUAGGUGUCUGAUUUGGUUUUUUUUUUUUAGG
This 1152-nucleotide long non-coding RNA is filed under the name Gossypium barbadense (sea-island cotton). RNAcentral describes it as "long non-coding RNA (GBAR_LNC000145)". The record is from RNAcentral. Lineage: Eukaryota; Viridiplantae; Streptophyta; Magnoliopsida; Malvales; Malvaceae.